GUAUGUCGUAGUCCGGAUUGGAGUCUGCAACUCGACUCCAUGAAGUCGGAAUCGCUAGUAAUCGUAGAUCAGAAUGCUACGGUGAAUACGUUCCCGGGCCUUGUACACACCGCCCGUCACACCAUGGGAGUGGGUUGCAAAAGAAGUAGGUAGCUUAACCUUCGGGAGGGCGCUUACCACUUUGUGAUUCAUGACUGGGGUGAAGUCGUAACAAGGUAACCGUAGGGGAACCUGCGGUUGGAUCACCUCCUUACCUUAAAGAA
RNAcentral lists this ribosomal RNA (263 nucleotides) under Klebsiella pneumoniae. Its description in RNAcentral is "partial 16S ribosomal RNA". It matches the Rfam family "Bacterial small subunit ribosomal RNA", at positions 1281 to 1533 of the family's 1533-position model. The record is from RNAcentral. Lineage: Bacteria; Pseudomonadati; Pseudomonadota; Gammaproteobacteria; Enterobacterales; Enterobacteriaceae.